RNAcentral lists this long non-coding RNA (2188 nucleotides) under Malus domestica (apple). RNAcentral's name for it is "long non-coding RNA (MDOM_LNC007714)". Lineage: Eukaryota; Viridiplantae; Streptophyta; Magnoliopsida; Rosales; Rosaceae. The record is from RNAcentral.
GUAGGUCUCGAGUUCGAGACUUGGGAACAGCCUCUUCAUAAAUGGGGGUAAGGCUAGCCGACAUUCACCUCUCCUAGACCCUGCGUAAAGCGGGAGCCUUGUGCACUGGGUACGACCUUAAUUGUGGAUGGAUUGAGUCAGUGUUUUAAAAAAUUCAAUACCAUAAGUGGAAUUCAUUAUAGAUUUUUGCACCUUCAGAAGAGAUCUCAAAGGGAAGGUAUAUUGAAUUACAGAAAUUGAUUCCCGUGUACCUCUUGCUGCUCCAAGGCAAGAAAGAUAGAGGAACGAAUUCAAGACAGUCAUUUGUGGACGGAAAUAGCAUGGUUUUCUAGGGUUAACUUUAAGCCAGAGAUAUCCUUUAGUUUUAUGUUAGAGUAUCUUUUCUGAGCACAACUUGAGCUACCAAUCUGAAUUAUAUGCCUAUGUUUCAGUACAAUAGGUUACUUUUUAGGAUCUAAAUUUUAAACGAAUAUCUUUUCAUUACUUAAAAGGUGCUUCACUGCUACAGAUAUGGAGUUGCUGCUAUCUCCCCAUUUUCUCAUCGUUUGGCCUUUGACAACUUGCCUCAAAACAUACAGCGCGUAAGUUGUAAAGUCAACUUUCAAGCUUUAGCCUUUGUUCCUCAUAUCAGGGAAUUGGGAGAAACCCUUGUUAAUCGUCUCCGCUACCCUCCCAAUGGAAACCCCAAAGGAGGUAGUGACUCACAGGACAAGGCAAAUGAAAUUGAGAAACAAGGAGCUGGGAAAUAUGUUGUUUUGCAUCUUCGCUUCAAUAAAGUAUGUUUUUAAUUAGCUUUAGAUCCUUGGCAUGUUUGAUUAUGUAAUCUGUUGAUGCACAAAAUCAGUGAGGACUUUGGUACAACAGAAAGUGUUAAGUUUGUGACCUUCGCUAGAUUGUUCCGGUCACUAGUGUGGAUAAGUAUGUAAAUGGAUAGGGACAGAGAAGCAAACACAAGAUGUACGUGGUUCACCCAGAUUGGCUACGUCCAUGGAGUAGAGGAGUUCUCAUUAAUUGUGAAGGGUUUACACAAGUACAUAUGUUCAAGCUCUCUUUUAGUAAGUACUAGUGAAUGAUUUAGUACAAAUGACAUUAGGCAAUAUUGUGGGAGAAUGAUCUCCUUUUAUAGAAGAGUUUCUAGCUUUGUUCUGACAUUGACACGUGUCGUGUUGUAAUUGGCUUCUGAUGUUGACACGUGUCGCGCUGUGAUUGGCUUCUGAUGUCGACACGUGUCGCACUGUGAUUGGCCUCCUGGUUGGAGGGAAACUGUUGUGGGUCCUUGACGGUAUAACAUUGAUCAGUGCUCAGUAGUUUCGGGAUUGGUCAAGUAUGGUACAAACAUAAUCAUUUCGGAGUCUUGGGGCUAAUAUAAGUUUUAAGAAAUAUAUACUGUACAAAAUAAUUUUUGAAGAAUCUUAAAGCUUUUUCUAAGAAUCUUAAUUACAUCUGCGGGAUUAGUAUUUCCUAAUAACUUCUUUGCCUGCACAUACACACAGGACAUAGCUGCUCAUUCAGCGUGUGAUUUUGGUGGAGGUAAAGCUGAGAAACUCGCCCUUGCAAAAUAUCGGCAAGUAAUCUGGCAGGGUAGGGUCCUAAAUUCUCAGUUCACAGAUGAGGAGUUAAGAAAUCAAGGGCGUUGCCAUUGACUCCUGAAGAGAUUGGAUUGCUGCUGGCAGCUUUGGGCUUCAACAAUACCACCCGUCUCUAUCUUGCUUCUUACAAGGUUUGUCUUAAAAGCAGAAUGUCUUUGCUGGUAUUUAGGGUCUAAUGGCAAGGGGCUCAUUUGUAGAUGUUUUUGUUUGUAAAAUUUGGAACAUUUUAAGUUAGAUAUUCUCCUUAUCUUCAUCUCUGUCAUUUUCAUUUCCCUCUCUCUUCAAUUGAAACAAAAGCAAAAAUGUUGACAAACGAGCCCCAAGCGUUUCAUGCGAUUCCUUAGGUUCCUUCUCCAUAAAUGUUGACAGGAUUAAAAAUUGUGAGCUGACAGGAUUAAAAAUUGUUUGGGAGCAGCCUCUCCAUAAAUAGGGGUAAGGCUAGCCGACAUUCACCUCUUCCAGACUCUGCGUAAAGCGGGAGCCUUGUGCACUGAGUACGAUAGGAUUAAAAAUUGUAUCGUCAGGUGGGUCACCGGGCUUACAUGAACUUGAAGACUAUUAGACCAAACAUGGCGUUGUCGGGCAAACUUUUCGUGAAU